RNAcentral lists this transfer RNA (72 nucleotides) under Camelus bactrianus (Bactrian camel). It matches the Rfam family "tRNA". From Rfam's summary of the family: Transfer RNA (tRNA) molecules are approximately 80 nucleotides in length. Their secondary structure includes four short double-helical elements and three loops (D, anti-codon, and T loops). Further hydrogen bonds mediate the characteristic L-shaped molecular structure. tRNAs have two regions of fundamental functional importance: the anti-codon, which is responsible for specific mRNA codon recognition, and the 3' end, to which the tRNAs corresponding amino acid is attached (by aminoacyl-tRNA synthetases). tRNAs cope with the degeneracy of the genetic code in two manners: having more than one tRNA (with a specific anti-codon) for a particular amino acid; and 'wobble' base-pairing, i.e. permitting non-standard base-pairing at the 3rd anti-codon position. The record is from Rfam by way of RNAcentral. Lineage: Eukaryota; Metazoa; Chordata; Mammalia; Artiodactyla; Camelidae. RNAcentral also lists the same sequence under 1 other name.
GAGGAUAUAGCUCAAUGGUAGAGUGUGUGCCUAGCAUUCACAAGGUCCUGGGUUCAGUUCCCCGUACCUCCA